This 496-nucleotide ribosomal RNA is filed under the name uncultured bacterium. RNAcentral's name for it is "partial 16S ribosomal RNA". It matches the Rfam family "Bacterial small subunit ribosomal RNA", at positions 28 to 506 of the family's 1533-position model. The record is from RNAcentral.
GAUGAACGCUGGCGGCGUGCCUAAUACAUGCAAGUCGAGCGAACGGACGAGAAGCUUGCUUCUCUGAUGUUAGCGGCGGACGGGUGAGUAACACGUGGAUAACCUACCUAUAAGACUGGGAUAACUUCGGGAAACCGGAGCUAAUACCGGAUAAUAUUUUGAACCGCAUGGUUCAAAAGUGAAAGACGGUCUUGCUGUCACUUAUAGAUGGAUCCGCGCUGCAUUAGCUAGUUGGUAAGGUAACGGCUUACCAAGGCAACGAUGCAUAGCCGACCUGAGAGGGUGAUCGGCCACACUGGAACUGAGACACGGUCCAGACACCUACGGGAGGCAGCAGUAGGGAAUCUUCCGCAAUGGGCGAAAGCCUGACGGAGCAACGCCGCGUGAGUGAUGAAGGUCUUCGGAUCGUAAAACUCUGUUAUUAGGGAAGAACAUAUGUGUAAGUAACUGUGCACAUCUUGACGGUACCUAAUCAGAAAGCCACGGCUAACUACGU